RNAcentral lists this ribosomal RNA (372 nucleotides) under uncultured organism. RNAcentral's name for it is "bacterial SSU rRNA". It matches the Rfam family "Bacterial small subunit ribosomal RNA", at positions 526 to 896 of the family's 1533-position model. The record is from RNAcentral.
CGUAGGGUGCAAGCGUUAAUCGGAAUUACUGGGCGUAAAGCGUGCGCAGGCGGUUUUGUAAGACAGGCGUGAAAUCCCCGGGCUCAACCUGGGAACUGCGCUUGUGACUGCAAGGCUAGAGUACGGCAGAGGGGGGUGGAAUUCCACGUGUAGCAGUGAAAUGCGUAGAGAUGUGGAGGAACACCAAUGGCGAAGGCAGCCCCCUGGGUCGAUACUGACGCUCAUGCACGAAAGCGUGGGUAGCAAACAGGAUUAGAUACCCUGGUAGUCCACGCCCUAAACGAUGUCAACUAGGUGUUGGGUGGGUAAAACCAUUUAGUACCGGAGCUAACGCGUGAAGUUGACCGCCUGGGGAGUACGGCCGCAAGGUUA